This 497-nucleotide ribosomal RNA is filed under the name uncultured bacterium. RNAcentral describes it as "partial 16S ribosomal RNA". It matches the Rfam family "Bacterial small subunit ribosomal RNA", at positions 28 to 507 of the family's 1533-position model. The record is from RNAcentral.
GAUGAACGCUGGCGGCGUGCCUAAUACAUGCAAGUCGAGCGAACGGACGAGAGGCUUGCUUCUCUGAUGUUAGCGGCGGACGGGUGAGUAACACGUGGAUAACCUACCUAUAAGACUGGGAUAACUUCGGGAAACCGGAGCUAAUACCGGAUAAUAUUUUGAACCGCAUGGUUCAAAAGUAAAAGACGGUCUUGCUGUCACUUAUAGAUGGAUCCGCGCUGCAUUAGCUAGUUGGUAAGGUAACGGCUUACCAAGGCAACGAUGCAUAGCCGACCUGAGAGGGUGAUCGGCCACACUGGAACUGAGACACGGUCCAGACUCCUACGGGAGGCAGCAGUAGGGAAUCUUCCGCAAUGGGCGAAAGCCUGACGGAGCAACGCCGCGUGAGUGAUGAAGGUCUUCGGAUCGUAAAACUCUGUUAUUAGGGAAGAACAUAUGUGUAAGUAACUGUGCACAUCUUGACGGUACCUAAUCAGAAAGCCACGGCUAACUACGUG